GACGAACGCUGGCGGCGUGCUUAACACAUGCAAGUCGAACGGCAAGGCCCUGCUUUUGUGGGGUGCUCGAGUGGCGAACGGGUGAGUAACACGUGAGUAACCUGCCCUUGACUUUGGGAUAACUUCAGGAAACUGGGGCUAAUACCGGAUAGGAGCUCCUGCUGCAUGGUGGGGGUUGGAAAGUUUCGGCGGUUGGGGAUGGACUCGCGGCUUAUCAGCUUGUUGGUGGGGUAGUGGCAUACCAAGGCCUUGACGGGUAGCCGGCCUGAGAGGGUGACCGGCCACCAUGGGACUGCGAGACGGCCCAGACUGCUACGGUAGGCAGCAGGGGGGAAUAUUGCACAACGGGCGGAAGCCUGAUGCAGCAACGCCGCGUUCGUGAUGACGGCCUGCGGGUUGUAAACCGCUUUCGCCUGUGACGAAGCGUGAGUGACGGUAAUGGGUAAAGAAGCACCGGCUAACUACGUG
RNAcentral lists this ribosomal RNA (468 nucleotides) under uncultured bacterium. Its description in RNAcentral is "partial 16S ribosomal RNA". It matches the Rfam family "Bacterial small subunit ribosomal RNA", at positions 28 to 507 of the family's 1533-position model. The record is from RNAcentral.